Zonotrichia leucophrys gambelii is the source of this 1027-nucleotide long non-coding RNA. RefSeq lists it as uncharacterized. Lineage: Eukaryota; Metazoa; Chordata; Aves; Passeriformes; Passerellidae. The transcript is spliced from 4 exons. The record is from RefSeq and is a predicted model, not a curated record.
AAAGAAAAGUGAAAGUGAGGAAGAGGAGGAUGAAGAGGAGGAGGAAGAAAAACCCAAAAAAUCAAAAAAAAAUCCCAAAAAAUCCCCAAAAAAUCCCGGAAAUUCCUCUGGGUCGGAUUCCGAGGAUUUGCCGUUGGCAAAAUGGGCGGAAAAAAGGAAAAAUCGGGGAAAGGAGGAAGAGGAGGAGAAGAGGAAGAAGAGGAAGAGGAGGAAGGACGAGGAGGAGGAAGAGGAGGAGUGGUGGAGGCGCGGGAAGGACCCACCGGAAGUGGCGCGGUUGAAGCGAUACCUCCGAGCCGCUGGGGGGCGCCCCAAUUACAAACAGCUCUUCCGGAAGUGCCGCAGCCGCCGCGAGGUCCUGGAGGCGCUCAGGGGCGCCCUGCGCGACCUGGGGCUGCGAGGCGCCCCCUCCCUGGCCCGCUGCCGCCGCCUCGGCCGCCGCCGCGAGGAAAAAGCCGAACUCGCCGCCCUCGACGCCUCCAACAUUUUACCCGCGAGAUCCAGAAGAAGAAACCCCGAAAUUGCCCCAAAAUCACCCCCAAAAUCGGCGCUGCCCCCCCCGGAUUGGUCGCGGCUCCGCGGCGUCGUCAGCUCCGACAGCGAGUGAAGGGAGUUUGGAAUUUUAUUUUUGGGGGGAAUUUUUGGGGUUUUGGGGGUUUUUAUGGGUUUGGGGUUGGUGUUGUAAAGUUGUAAUAAAGGUUGGAGAUGUUGUUGUAAAAAUGGCCUAAAAAUGGUUGGAAAAAUGCCCAAAAUCACCUUAAAAUCGCUGUAAAAAUCCUCAAAAUCACCCCAAAAAUCAACCCAAAAUUAGUGAAAAAAUGCCCCAAAAAAUACCAAAAAUUGCCCUAAAAAUACCAAAAAUUGCCCCAAAAAAUGGAUCCAAAAUUCCCCUAAAAAUCACCAAAAAAUCGCCCUAAAAUUCCCACGCAAAUCACUCCAAAAAUCACCCUCAAAAAUGAGAUCAAAAUCCCCCAAAAAGGCCCAAAAAUGGUCUUAAAAAUCACCCCCCAAAUCCUCAAAAAUUGCC